This is a long non-coding RNA of Mustela lutreola (European mink), 4523 nucleotides long. RefSeq lists it as uncharacterized. The transcript is spliced from 2 exons. The record is from RefSeq and is a predicted model, not a curated record. Lineage: Eukaryota; Metazoa; Chordata; Mammalia; Carnivora; Mustelidae.
UACCAGUGCCUCCUCUGCGGCCUCCCUAGCUGGAGUCGCCAUCCAGCCCUGUCCCCAGCCCACAAAUCCGCGCGCUGCCCGUCACUUCCCAUUGUACUAUCUCUCGGGACACCUCCAUGGCACUGAACUUAGAGGCCCUUCAUGGUGCAGCCCUGGCUUCAUGCCUAGUCAUGCACUUGCUCUCCAGAAGAUGAAUCACAUCUCCACGCCACACCACGCCCUUCCACGGAGUGUCCUGUGCCCCCUUCUCUGCCGGCUGGCCUCGUGUUGGCCCUGCUCCUAUCUCUCAGCACCGGCACAGUGCAUGUGGCUCUCCAGCCAUUUCCUACUUCUCUCCUCAGUGCUGAGCGCCGGGCAAUGGGGCAGACACUCCGGGCUCACAGUCAGCUGUACCCGCGGGCCACAGAGGGAGAGCACUGCCUGCCAGUAGCUCAGGUUCCGUCCAUGGCCAGAGAGAGCCUGAGCCCCAUCUCCUGUGGCCUCGGCUGCGGCAGGCGCCCCCAGCACCCCGCUCUCACCCUCAGAGGCUGCAGGAUCCCUCAUGAGCACAUCACAGAGGGUCUCAUGCUUGCGGCAGGGGUGAGGGAGGCAGAGCAGAGAGGAGCGAUUCAUAGCGGCUCAUCCCCGAGGAUAAGAUGGAAACCGCAGUCCUGCAAAUGCACCCUGGGACAGCUGCAGGGAAAGACGUGGCCUUCUCCGCCGUCACCAGCCACUGCAGUUCGGGGUGACCAGGCCAGGGAGUCCUGAUCAAUAUCACCUUCUCCCAGCAAAACAGCGUAACGAAGCUCUAUUAGCGGCUCCGAGCGCUGGCGCGGACACCCGUGACUGGCACUGUGAUUAACAACUGCCCCUCUGUUCCCAGAGCUGCAGCCCGUCCGGGGCAGCGUCCCCACAGCCCUCGAGCCUGGCAGGAGCCUGGUGACUGUGUGAACUUUCCCGAAGCCGGAAGCCCAGCCUGAGCUAGCCGUGGGGUGCCCAGCCCCAGGCCUCUAGAGAACAGACCAUCAGGAACAGAAGGGCUCGUGUGGCCGGGAUUCAGGGAAGAAGAUGUGUGCCCACCACCCACCCACCCACCCACACACUCAUGUUCUGCAUCUCUUCCCACUGACUGCUCGCCAUCAACUCGCACACCUCCAGUGACGGGGAACUCACCUCCUAACGAAAGACCCGGUUUCCCAUCCAGCCAGCUGUGAUUGGGAGUGGGCUCCUCCAGAUCCGACUUUUGUGUCCAUCGGUCCUGGCAUUGUCCUUCAGGCCCCAGCCCGCCUCUCCCUUCCAGCAUGCCCGCCACCCCCACCCUGGAGCUUCCCACGGCUCCCCUCCACCCUGAAGCCAUCCACAGUGUCGGCCUUUGAGAGCCUCUGUGGCUACACCAGUAACAUCAAUAAUCAUAAUUGGUUGGCGGUUAGGGUGGGCCGGCCCUGUGCUCUGUCCGGCAGACGCCUAUUCUAGUCCUCAUAACAGCGCCGGGAGGACAGUGCUAUUGUUAUUCCAUUUUACAACCAGGGAAACUGAGGCACUGUGGACCUGCCCCAGCCACAGAUCUCACAAGGUUUCUCCGUUCCUCUUGAAGGCUCCAAGCCUUCCCCAUUCUGUGCAGACUGCGUGUCUGUCCCCGCCUGCGGACUCCGGCCAACCUCACGUGUGUGCUUUCCCUGCCCCCACUCCCGGGUACUGCCUUAACCUUCGCACGCCCGCUUUCCGCACUCCUCUCUGGCAGGGCCCGCUGUGCCCCCUGCACCCAGUGGGUCCAGUGACGGAAGACGCAGGCCUCCUGACUCCAGCCCAUCACUCUGCCCCGUCGGCCGCCCGCCCUCCCCGACUUCCUUUGCUCCGGCCCGUCCCCAAGCCCUGCCGACAUGGGAGGACAGGCCCGCGGGCAGCGUCUCAGGGACCAGGUCUCAGAGACCAGGCUCAGCCCGACGGCUGUAACGGACACACCCUGAGUCACGGCUCAGUCCCAGGGGGGAGCAAAUCCCAGUGGAACCACCGUGGGCAAAGGAGCCUCUGCCGGUGACCCGGACAGGGGUCAAGGGCCUCCAUGAGCAUCCGCCUCCAAGACAGCUGGCCGUGACCCCAGCCACCUGGUGCCACACAGGGAACCUGUUGGACGGGCGCAGUGGGGGUGACACGCAUGAACAUGAACCUGAACAAGCGAAUUCAGAGACACAGAGUGUCACGGGCUUCUCCGCGGAGCCUGCUCCUCAGCCAGGAUGGGGCCGGCCGGUGCCAGUUUAUUCAUGGUGGGACUGUGCUGAGCCCCAUGGCUGGACCAUGGCCGUUGGGGAUUGGAUCUCGGCACUCCAGCCCCUGAGACCUCCCAGCCCAGGAUCCCAUGCAAGUCUCCGCUGCCUCCCGUUCCUCAGGUCCCGGGCUGCGCUCUGCCAAGCAGCACAAGUGGACAAUUUUAAGGGAAAUUAAUGCAUGUGUUUCUGAAUCACCUUGUGUGGAAACUAUCACAAUGCUGUGUCUGAAGGACAGUAACACCCAGAAAUGACCUACCCAUGGGGUGAGCCGUCUGGGUCAUUGUGCCAGGUUUCUAAGAGUCUCCUAAUGGGACGGCCUCGCAGCCAGCCAGAGUCUCACCAGACAGUGCUAACACUGCCUCCUCCAGGAAGUCCCCCGGGGCCCCCCAGGCUUGGGAGAGGCCUCUCUGCAGAGCACAGCAUGCUCCAAAUCAGGGCCAUGGCCCAUGGGACCGUCCUGGUUUGCUAACAGUUUCCCCCCAGCAGAAGGCAGCUGCUUCAAGACAGGGGCCAGACCUGUCCAGGCCCACAAGGAGCAAGGAGGUCAACCUGGCAGGAGGGAAGGAGACAGGCAGGGAGCCCCUGGAAAGGACGCGCUAUGACCACGUCCAGGGCGGGCACAUUGGGCCCCAUGGCCAGUGAGCUGGAGCUGGUGAGGCAACCAGGGCUCUGCGUCCCCUCCCCAGCAGCUGCCCAGCAUCUCCACGGGGCUCGGCCUCACCGCACUGGACGGUCCAGCCCUUCCUUCCUUCUUAAGAGGCGCCUUCCUGUUAUUCCUCUGAAGCAAACCAACGGGGUCAUUUCCUUAGUGACAAGGUGUAGUGACCACUGCCAGACCACAGGCUGAGUGGCCACCCAGUCUGGGGUGUUCACACAGGACAAUGCCCCAGGGUGUGUGUGGGUGCAACUGCUGGGUGAGCGCUGGGGGCUGGCCUUCUGAGCUGAGACAACAGGGUCAGGAGGGUGUCGUCCUGCAAGGGGACAGUGUCCUUCCAAUGUCCUCUCGGAGAAUGACAUGUGUUGCAUCCAGAUGCAGCUGGUGGGCCUUCUUGGGAGGAACCCCAGGAUGGGAGGUCAGGGAAAGAACAUUCCAGAAGAAAGGCACUUCCUCAACCUGCGUGGGGAUACGGGGAGGCGGCAUCCUGUUUUGAAGCUAAGAAAGGGUACUUCUGCAGAAAGCCAGGACCCCCGGGGAGGACAGCACACAGUCUCCCUCCUCCCGUGUGUCUGUGGAACCGGCGUGUUUGCAGUCAGAGCCUUGGAAGAAGGCAGAGAAGGGCGCAUCUCCAUCCCUGCUGGCCCAGCCAGUCCGUUCUCCACGCCCUCACGGUUGACAUCCCACACUUGGGACUCUGCUGCCCUCUGGGGCCCCACGCCUGAGGAGAGACCUCACACCUGCAGGAUGGAAGCUGGGUGGGGCCGGGCUCUCCUCUCCUGCACGCAGUGCCAGCCAGGCCCCCUCACCCGGGUCCCAGCUGCGUCUCUGGGGGACGUCUGAGGCUUUGGGUGGGAGACCAUGUCUGUUUCUCUGCUCCGCUCUCAGGGGUGUGGGGGCGGGCAGGGUCUGUCCAGGGGCAUAGCCAGCCAAGGAGGGGACUGAAGACCCAUCCUUCUGAGAGCCCAAAGUGGCUGUGGGUCUUGUUCUGCAGGCAGCACAGCAGACUGCUGCAAUCCAGGAAGGCUUUGUGGAGGAGGUGACACACAGGUCAGGUCUUUCAGGUCUGGAGAAUGGAGGAAGGUGUUUGGGCUGCAGGCUAUAAUUUAUUUUAUACAAUUCUAGAUUUUUAUAAGUUUCAGUCACUUAACUUACUUCCUUUCCAAUGGCACAGUGAUGAAGCCGCUCUGAAAACAGGGGACAGAGUCACGCUACCACAGGGUGACUCAGUGUGUCACCUCUGUACGAAUCCACACAGACACAUCCCCUCGAGGACGGUCUGCAUGACCCAGUCCUGUCCUGUGUGGCAGGAGGAGCAUAGGGGUGCAGACACAGGGCAGGGAACAGACUGUCCCCUGCAGACGGGGGGCGGGUGUGCACCUGCAGCCUCCCGUUCAGCCUGUCCCAGUCUCCUGGAACCCCCCCACACCCCCUCUCUCCCAGCCGGGCCUGGAGCUGCUGUCUUCCACGUCAUUCUUUUCUUGGCAGUGCUGGCAGCCUGAAUUGUUGAAAACGUCUGUGUUUGGCUGUAAUCAGAGCCCUUGCGAAGCACUCGCCCCCUCCUUUUGUACUUCACGGUCCUCGAGGGGAAAAAUUUAUUACAAGCAUCAUUUUACACAAAC